Long non-coding RNA from Lepidothrix coronata (blue-crowned manakin), 258 nucleotides. RefSeq lists it as uncharacterized. The record is from RefSeq and is a predicted model, not a curated record. Lineage: Eukaryota; Metazoa; Chordata; Aves; Passeriformes; Pipridae. The transcript has 3 exons.
CAUACUUCAUCACUGUGCUGCAACAUGACUCCCAUCUGUCAAGGAAAUGGCAGAUAACUGAGGCUGACUGAUCAAGAGACUGCUUACGAACCAGCAAGAAAAGAAGCCGCACUCAGAAACCACUGCUGCCUAUUUAAUUUUUAAGAAAAAGAAGUCUUGAGCUGUGUUUUUGAGAAGCUUCAGUGCCUCUGUACUCAGCCUUGAAGUCUGACAGAUAAACCUUUGUGGUGUUGCUGAGACAACCCAUGCAAAUCUGGC